GAAUAUUCUGUUGUUGCAACAAUAAAAUAAUGAUUCCUCUAAUGAUCAUGGUUCUCUCUCUCUCUCUCUCUGUCUAUCUCUCCCAGGUAUCCUCUGUAUUGUUGUCCAGCUGUCCUCGAAUCUGUGACCCAGGCUUCAUUAUUGACAAGUGUAAGUGUGUCCUUUGUCCCGAUGGCGACUACUGGUACAUGCAGAACGGACUUCCGAAGUGUGACCGAUGCAGCGAAGCCUGCUCGGUGGAUCAGCACUUGACACAGGUGAAGGAAUGCGGCCGGGACUCAAACCGCGAGUGCCACUGUGACAGUGGCUUUUUCUGUGACAACGCUGCCCAGUAUACCUGCAGGAGGUGUAAGCCGUGCUCGCCCGGAACCUUCUCUAACAAACCAAACCUAACCAUGUCCUGCAAACCCCACACAGAUUGUGGCCAUAAGGGAAUGACUAUGGUGACAGAGGGCACUGCCACUCAGGAUCGUGUAUGUGCCCAGACCUCCCCUAACUCUCCUACAACCACUGCGCCUCCAACUGUCCAAAGCUCAGAGAUAGGCUUUCAUUCUUCUACCUCCAGUGGAGUCAGCACCACCCGAAAACCCCUCAUCAUAGCAUCCCCAUCUGGCCUGGUGGGGUCUACAUCUCCUGAUGCCUUUCCCAUAGCCACAAUUGACACAUCUGCAGACCCUUCACCAGCCUUACUCACCAGGCCUUCUUUGUCCCAAGCCCAAAGCGAGCCCUCUACCUCCCUCCCAACUAGGAAAAAAGUCGCUGAACACAGCUUCUUUGACCCCAACACAAAGCUCACCACCAGGAGAAACCUCAGAAAGGUGGACAGUAACACCCCACCUGCAGAGUCUGCCUCUGCACCUCUUACCACAGAUGACAAUGACCCACCUCCUCUCUCAGCAACAGAUACUGGACCGAGCCCUUCCACUCUCCCUUGGCUGCUGCUGAUAGGUGGGCUACUAGGGGUUGUCGUGCUGCUGGUUGUUUACUUUGUCCGUUGUAAGGAGAGGUCACUGAAGUCCCUAGACAAGUGGAAAGGUCCAGUAUUUGGUAUAAAUGCCCAGCCACCACAGGAGAGUUGCCCAUACCCGGAGGCCCAGCAUCUUCUGGGGAGUGAGACUGGGGGAAAUCCUAGACAGGAUGGUGCAGGGUUGCUACCUCCAGGGGUCAUGAAGCAGGUCACAGUGGACCACUCUGGUGGAGAGAACAUUAGCAACACAGUGGGGUCCAUUUACAUCUACUCUCCGGGGACGGUUGUCCUGGGAUACAACAAGUCGGAGAGGAAGGUGGAUCAAGUCGAGAAUGGGGUAGAGGGCUGUCCCCUCACCAGAACACCCCAGCAGGAGUCCUCCUGCCCCCUCCCUGAGGGCCCUGCUCUGGGGCCAGAGAGAAUGAGUACACAGGAGGAGACCUGCAAAGAGCUGAGAUACCCCAUCCCGGCCACCAGCAACUGAGAACUAGAAAAAAAAAUGAAAUUAAGGAUUAACUAUGGAAAAAGCCUGAGGAGGAGCAACUUCAUUCAAUAUCAACUAUCAUCUCUAGGGGAAGAAUGCAGGCAGAUUAUUAUUUGCUACUGUAAAGACUGUUAGACUGAAUGGCUUCCUUCUGUACAAGGAUUGCCAAAGCCACUGGGGUCCCUCAUGGGUCUUCUAUUAUGAAAGAGUGACAGUUUGUUCCAACUGUAUGUAAUAGUCUUAGCACGGUUUCAAAUUCACUGUAAGUCACUGUUGUGACAGCAGUGCUGGGACAGUUUGUGAGAGCAAUGCAUGGUCUGUUUGAUAUGGGGUGUCAACACUGUGAGUCGGAGUUUCCCAUCAUAGGGUACAUGUACACAAUGUCGCCAGAUAGUGUGAGAGUCUACGUGUAUCAACCACAGAAACAGUGAAGACAAGAAAUUCAUAUGAGGUGGGAAGUAACCUAUAUAACAAGUAGGGUUUGGCGUGUGAAGAGCUUACAAUUUCCAUUGUAAAGUAAUACAGGGACUGUCUGGACAAUUUAAAAUCAAACAUAGCCAUGUUCACUGGUUAUAACCUUUGUUCUGUGAAUUUUUGAUCAAGACAUUGCUAUGUACAGUAGCCUACAGAACGAAGACAGAAGAAAGAUGAUUUUAUAACAGACAAUAGCAAUCUGUUCCAGUCUAUUCCUUGACAUAAAUGUACACAAAUGAACAAACUAUUUCAAGUCAUCUCUUUAUGGUGAAACCACUUAUGUAGUUGACUAUGACUAUGGGCAGCCAAUCACUGUCUGUUAAUCAUGCAGAACAAUUGUAAUAUUUUGUCUGUUUGACAAACGCAUGUGACGUAGGCUAUGCCCAUAGCAUGAGCUGUUUGAUUACCCCAAUUUUUCUUUUAUCCUUCUGAAAUUGUAGAACUUUUUCAAGCAAGUAUUUACCGACAAAACACACCGUUUACGAUGAUUUCUGUGUUAGUAUGGAGGAAUGAAAAAUGGUCUCUCUUUUUGUAUAGUAGUGGUGCUGAAAAUGGUGACUCAACAUUUUGUGGUUAACAUACCAAAUUUGGCACAGAUGUAGAUGUACGGUGCCUUCGAAAAGUAUUCAGGCCCCUUGACUUUUUUUCCACUUUUUGUAAUGUUACAGCCUCACUCUAAAACAUGAUAUAUAUAUAUAUAAAAAAUCCUCAGCACUCUACACACAAUACCCCAUAAUGACAAAGCGAAAACAGGUUUUUAGAAAUUUCUGCAAAUGUUCUGCUGUUCUGCAAAUUAUUCUGCUGUCCGCAUAGGAGAACCCUUUUUGGUUCCAUGUAGAACCCUUUACCCCCGACAUAGGACCCAAAAGGGUUCUACCUGGAACCAAAAAGGGUUCUUCAAAGGGUUCUCCUAUGGGGACAGCCGAAUAACCUUUUUAGGUUCUAGAUGGCACCUUUUUUCCCCCGAAUAGGGUAGUGAUGGCACCAGUUUCCAUAUCGCCUAUAACUCAAUCGCCAAUUUCUCAGCCUCUGAGUAUCACAGAAACACAAGACUCUGAAUGAAUAACAGAAACAUGUUAAUGACAAGAUCCUAUGACUGAAAUGGAUCAAAACAUGGAAAAGCAUGCAAACAUUUAUAUUUUAAACAUAAGAUUUGACUAUAAAUGUGUUAACAUUCUUAAUAUUUGUAUUGUGUUGUGUUACAAAAGGUUAAUGAAAGAAAGUAUUACUGCUUGACACUGCCUCUGCAAUCAUUACCAGUUUGGGUACAGUACAUGGACUUCUUGAGGAAAUUGAAAUCGAAGGUUACUGCAGUGCAAAGACGCCCUCAGUUUCCUCAGCUAGUCAGCAGUUCAAGGAAACGCGCACUUUUGUUCCAGGUUGUAAUUCGAGUGUUCUUCUGUAGGCUAACAAUACGGUUUCAGUAUGGACUUUUUCGCAAGAUCUUAAAGGGU
This 3379-nucleotide long non-coding RNA is filed under the name Oncorhynchus kisutch (coho salmon). RNAcentral's name for it is "lncRNA (ENSOKIG00005036069.1)". Lineage: Eukaryota; Metazoa; Chordata; Actinopteri; Salmoniformes; Salmonidae. The record is from RNAcentral.